RNAcentral lists this ribosomal RNA (492 nucleotides) under uncultured bacterium. RNAcentral describes it as "partial 16S ribosomal RNA". It matches the Rfam family "Bacterial small subunit ribosomal RNA", at positions 30 to 507 of the family's 1533-position model. The record is from RNAcentral.
AGUGAACGCUGGCGGCAGGCCUAACACAUGCAAGUCGAACGGCAGCACAGUAAGAGCUUGCGCUUACGGGGGGGGAGUGGCGGACGGGACAGGUAAACAUCGGAAUCUACUUUUUCGUGGGGGAUAACGUAGGGAAACUUACGCCAAUACCGCAGACGAUCUACGGGGGAGAGCAGGGGAUCUUCGGACCUUGCGCGGGUGAAUGAGCCGAUGUCGGAUUAGUUGGUUGGGGGGGUAAAGGCCCACCAAGGGGAGGAUCGGCAGCCGGUCGGAGAGGACGGUCGGCCACACUGGAACUUAGACACCGUCCAGACUCCUACGGGAGGCAGCAGUGGGGAAUGUUGGACAAUGGGCGGAAGCCUGAUCCAGCCAUGCCGCGUGGGUGAAGAAGGCCUUCGGGUUGUAAAGCCCUUUUGUUGGGAAAGAAAAGCAGUAGGUUAAUACCCCGCUGUGCUGACGGUACCCGAAGAAUAAGCACCGGCUAACUACGUG